RNAcentral lists this non-coding RNA (174 nucleotides) under Pseudoalteromonas tunicata. Its description in RNAcentral is "Lysine sequence". It matches the Rfam family "Lysine riboswitch aptamer". From Rfam's summary of the family: Riboswitches are metabolite binding domains within certain messenger RNAs that serve as precision sensors for their corresponding targets. Allosteric rearrangement of mRNA structure is mediated by ligand binding, and this results in modulation of gene expression. Lineage: Bacteria; Pseudomonadati; Pseudomonadota; Gammaproteobacteria; Alteromonadales; Pseudoalteromonadaceae. The record is from RNAcentral.
AUAAACAGAAGAGGUGCGAAGGCCAGGUAGAACAUACGAGGACGCGGUGUCCGAUGAUGAUGUUUCGAGGGGGACCUUCGCCGAGGGGGAAUAACCACCGUACAGUUAUUUUCUCGGUUUAAGAGGCUGAAUCCUCUGAACUGUCACCUAUUUUGGUGGAGAGCUUCUGGCAGU